AGUGAACGCUGGCGGUAGGCCUAACACAUGCAAGUCGAACGGCAGCACAGUAAGAGCUUGCUCUUACGGGUGGCGAGUGGCGGACGGGUGAGGAAUACAUCGGAAUCUACUUUUUCGUGGGGGAUAACGUAGGGAAACUUACGCUAAUACCGCAUAUGACCUACGGGUGAAAGCAGGGGAUCUUCGGACCUUGCGCGAUUGAAUGAGCCGAUGUCGGAUUAGCUAGUUGGCGGGGUAAAGGCCCACCAAGGCGACGAUCCGUAGCUGGUCUGAGAGGAUGAUCGGCCACACUGGAACUGAGACACGGUUCAGACUCCUACGGGAGGCAGCAGUAGGGAAUAUUGGGCAAUGGGCGCAAGCCUGAUCCAGCCAUACCGCGUGGGUGAAGAAGGCCUUCGGGUUGUAAAGCCCUUUUUUUGGGAAAGAAGAGCAGCAGGUUAAUACGCCGCUGUUCUGACGGUACCCAAUGAAUAAGCACCGGCUAACUUCGUG
This 492-nucleotide ribosomal RNA is filed under the name uncultured bacterium. RNAcentral's name for it is "partial 16S ribosomal RNA". It matches the Rfam family "Bacterial small subunit ribosomal RNA", at positions 29 to 507 of the family's 1533-position model. The record is from RNAcentral.